Molecule: ribosomal RNA, 331 nt
Filed under: uncultured eukaryote
Lineage: Eukaryota
Description: partial 18S ribosomal RNA
Rfam family: Eukaryotic small subunit ribosomal RNA
Source: RNAcentral
CCCUUAGAUGUUCUGGGCCGCACGCGCGCUACACUGUUCGACGCAGCGAGUCUUAACCUUGACCGAAAGGUUUGGGUAAUCUUCAGCAAAGUCGAACGUGAUGGGGAUCGAUCAUUGCAAUUAUUGAUCGUGAACGAGGAAUUCCUAGUAAGUGCAAGUCAUCAGCUUGCGCUGAUUACGUCCCUACCCUUUGUACACACCGCCCGUCGCUACUACCGAUUGAAUGGUUUAGUGAGAUCUCUGGAUUGACGCUGGCUAGGGGGCGACCCUUGGCCAGACUGUUGAGAAACUGCUCAAACUUGAUCAUUUAGAGGAAGUAAAAGUCGUAACA